Molecule: ribosomal RNA, 374 nt
Filed under: uncultured bacterium
Lineage: Bacteria
Description: bacterial SSU rRNA
Rfam family: Bacterial small subunit ribosomal RNA
Source: RNAcentral
GACGAACGCUGGCGGCGUGCUUAACACAUGCAAGUCGAGCGGUAAGGCCCUUUCGGGGGUACACGAGCGGCGAACGGGUGAGUAACACGUGGGUGACCUGCCUUUAGCUCUGGGAUAAGCCUGGGAAACCGGGUCUAAUACCGGAUAUGACUCCGCGGCGCAUGUGUGGGGUGGAAAGCCUUGUGCGGCUGGAGAUGGGCCCGCGGCCUAUCAGCUUGUUGGUGGGGUGAUGGCCUACCAAGGCGACGACGGGUAGCCGGCCUGAGAGGGCGACCGGCCACACUGGGACUGAGACACGGCCCAGACUCCUACGGGAGGCAGCAGUGGGGAAUCUUGCGCAAUGGGCGAAAGCCUGACGCAGCGACGCCGCGUGA